This 383-nucleotide long non-coding RNA is filed under the name Homo sapiens (human). RNAcentral describes it as "long non-coding RNA NONHSAT144989.2". Lineage: Eukaryota; Metazoa; Chordata; Mammalia; Primates; Hominidae. The record is from RNAcentral.
CGAGCCUCCUCCACCGUGCGGCCCGCGGAGGGCAGGGAGCGGCCGGGCGAGGCAUGGCGGGCCGCCGGGCGCCGGGGGAGAAGCGCUGGCAGCUGGUGCGCUGGUACGUGCAGGAAGGGCGGUUCCGAAUCGAGGAGAGGACGCUGACAGCCUUCCAGUGGCUCUACAGCCCGCAGCAGCAUCGCAUCCUCAGCCGGGCUGACCUCGAGUCUCCCUCCAGAGAUGGGGUCUCCCUAUUGUGCCCAGGCUGGUCAACUCCUAGGUUCAAGCCAUUCUCCUGCCUCUGCCUCCCAAGGUGCUGAGAUGACAGACGUGAGCCACUGUGCCCAGCCAAUAGUUAUUUUUUUAGUUCCCGUUAUGUGUCAUGCAAAUGCUUUGCAGGA